This is a long non-coding RNA of Manis pentadactyla (Chinese pangolin), 529 nucleotides long. RefSeq lists it as uncharacterized. The transcript has 3 exons. Lineage: Eukaryota; Metazoa; Chordata; Mammalia; Pholidota; Manidae. The record is from RefSeq and is a predicted model, not a curated record.
GAGGAACCUGCCUGACGUCCCGGCAAGGGGGCAAGGGCGUGGGGGACACACCUCGGCACACUGCCUUCUGCCGAGUCAGCCGCGCGUGUAGGCUGCCGUGCCGGGAAAGGCCUGCCAAUACAGAGGAAGAAGCAGAAAGAGCAGCGCAGAGGCAAUGCAGGCUGACCACGUGACCACGACUAAGGGCCGAAGCGUGGCUGUGGAGAAGAGUGCAGAUCUGACAUAUAUUUUGGAGUUCAGCCCUCAGGAUUUCCUAACGAUUGGCUGUCAGAGUGAGGAGAAGGAUGAAACGAUGAUGAUUCCUAAUGUUCUGCGUUUGAGAAAGGCUAAACCCGAGAGCUGAAACCUGAUUGGAGCAGGGAGAAGGGAGUGUGGAGCAAUCUAGGGGCUGGCUUCUGUCAAGGCAAAGGCGAAAGCCAGCAUCACAGGCAGAGAACUAAGCGCUGAGCCAGCAGCAUGGGAGGAAGCGGAGCCUCUGAUGUCUGCAUCAGGCAGAGCCCUCCGGGGGCCAAACUGGCUCUAGGUGUGU